This 484-nucleotide ribosomal RNA is filed under the name Hoplisoma nattereri (blue corydoras). RNAcentral's name for it is "Corydoras nattereri partial 16S ribosomal RNA". It matches the Rfam family "Bacterial large subunit ribosomal RNA", at positions 1850 to 2543 of the family's 2925-position model. The record is from RNAcentral. Lineage: Eukaryota; Metazoa; Chordata; Actinopteri; Siluriformes; Callichthyidae.
AGGUCCUGCCUGCCCAGUGACUAUGUUAAACGGCCGCGGUAUUUUGACCGUGCAAAGGUAGCGCAAUCACUUGUCUUUUAAAUGAAGACCUGUAUGAAUGGUGGAACGAGGGCCUAACUGUCUCCCUUUUCAAGUCAAUGAAAUUGAUCUAUCCGUGCAGAAGCGGGUAUGCGAAUACAAGACGAGAAGACCCUUUGGAGCUUAAGAUUAAAAAUCAACUAUGUCAAAUAUCCACCGGAUAAAACUAAAUAGCAGCUGAUCAUAAUCUUCGGUUGGGGCGACCACGGAAUAAAGACAAACUUCCACAUGGACUGAGGACUAACCUUAAACCCAAGAAAGACAUUUCUAAGUCACAGAAUUUCUGACCACACAGAUCCGGCAAAUCGCCGAUCAAUGGACCAAGUUACCCUAGGGAUAACAGCGCAAUCCCCUUUUAGAGUUCCUAUCGACAAGGGGGUUUACGACCUCGAUGUUGGAUCAGGAC